Molecule: ribosomal RNA, 253 nt
Filed under: uncultured bacterium
Lineage: Bacteria
Description: partial 16S ribosomal RNA
Rfam family: Bacterial small subunit ribosomal RNA
Source: RNAcentral
GACAGAGGAUGCAAGCGUUAUCCGGAAUGAUUGGGCGUAAAGCGUCUGUAGGUGGCUUUUCAAGUCCGCCGUCAAAUCCCAGGGCUCAACCCUGGACAGGCGGUGGAAACUGCCAAGCUGGAGUACGGUAGGGGCAGAGGGAAUUUCCGGUGGAGCGGUGAAAUGCGUAGAGAUCGGGAGGAACACCAGAGGCGAAGGCGGCGACCUGGACAAGCACUGACACUCAACUACGAAAGCGUGGGGAGCAAACAGG